RNAcentral lists this small RNA (78 nucleotides) under Flavobacterium sp. 1. RNAcentral describes it as "Flavo-1 RNA". It matches the Rfam family "Flavo-1 RNA". The record is from RNAcentral. Lineage: Bacteria; Pseudomonadati; Bacteroidota; Flavobacteriia; Flavobacteriales; Flavobacteriaceae.
UUUUAGCCCCGAUUGCAGUGAAAAUCCUUGUGAACCGGGGUUCGGUUCACAAGAUUGUAACGGAAAGCGGGAGUAUAC